RNAcentral lists this ribosomal RNA (621 nucleotides) under Neoprotoparmelia aff. isidiata E GS-2015. Its description in RNAcentral is "eukaryotic LSU rRNA". The stretch from base 270 to 423 matches the Rfam family "5.8S ribosomal RNA". The record is from RNAcentral. Lineage: Eukaryota; Fungi; Ascomycota; Lecanoromycetes; Lecanorales; Parmeliaceae.
UGGUCAUUUAGAGGAAGUAAAAGUCGUAACAAGGUUUCCGUAGGUGAACCUGCGGAAGGAUCAUUACCGAGAGAGGAGGCUUGACCUCCCGGGGUCCCUCACCCCCAUCUCUUUACCCUGUGCUUAAUUACCUUCGUUGCUUUGGCGGGCCUCGGGUCUUUCCCGCGUCGGUCGCACGGCCUCGGUGGCUUUAGCAGCCGGCGAGCGCCCGCCGGAGAACCUUUUUCUAAACCUGUUGCGUGAUGUCUGAGUCUCGAUACAAUAAGCAAAACUUUCAACAACGGAUCUCUUGGUUCCAGCAUCGAUGAAGAACGCAGCGAAAUGCGAUAAGUAAUGUGAAUUGCAGAAUUCAGUGAAUCAUCGAAUCUUUGAACGCACAUUGCGCCCCUCGGCAUUCCGGGGGGCAUGCCUGUUCGAGCGUCAUUGCAUCUCUCAAGCACGGCUUGGUAUUGGGUCUUCGCCCCCCGGGCGGUCCCGAAAAGCGUUGGCGGCUCGGCGCGGACUUCGAGCGUAGUAAAAUCUUCCCGCUCCGUCGACCGUGUCGGGGUCAGCCAUUCGACACCCAACCCCAUCAAUUGACCUCGGAUCAGGCAGGGAUACCCGCUGAACUUAAGCAUAUCA